RNAcentral lists this ribosomal RNA (429 nucleotides) under Actinomycetes bacterium. RNAcentral's name for it is "Actinobacteria bacterium partial 16S ribosomal RNA". It matches the Rfam family "Bacterial small subunit ribosomal RNA", at positions 355 to 776 of the family's 1533-position model. The record is from RNAcentral. Lineage: Bacteria; Bacillati; Actinomycetota; Actinomycetes.
UAGGGAAUCUUCCGCAAUGGGCGAAAGCCUGACGGAGCAACGCCGCGUGAGUGAUGAAGGUCUUCGGAUCGUAAAACUCUGUUAUUAGGGAAGAACAAAUGUGUAAGUAACUAUGCACGUCUUGACGGUACCUAAUCAGAAAGCCACGGCUAACUACGUGCCAGCAGCAGCGGUAAUACGUAGGUGGCAAGCGUUAUCCGGAAUUAUUGGGCGUAAAGCGCGCGUAGGCGGUUUUUUAAGUCUGAUGUGAAAGCCCACGGCUCAACCGUGGAGGGUCAUUGGAAACUGGAAAACUUGAGUGCAGAAGAGGAAAGUGGAAUUCCGUGUGUAGCGGUGAAAUGCGCAGAGAUAUGGAGGAACACCAGUGGCGAAGGCGACUUUCUGGUCGAUAACUGACGCUGAUGUGCGAAAGCGGGGGGAUCAAACAGG